Long non-coding RNA from Nothobranchius furzeri (turquoise killifish), 7034 nucleotides. RefSeq lists it as uncharacterized. The record is from RefSeq and is a predicted model, not a curated record. Lineage: Eukaryota; Metazoa; Chordata; Actinopteri; Cyprinodontiformes; Nothobranchiidae.
AACCUGGAAACACAGAUGGGCCAUUCGUCUGUCAGAAUGAUUUUACAGGAUACAGACUUCAUAAAUGCUGUAUGCGUGUUACCAUAGAAACGCAUAUUCAUAAGGUGUUUUGGCAUUUGACAGGUCAGUGGUCCAUCAGAGCGCCGUGUAGGGACAACCAGCCAUUCUUUCCCACACCCAAGACCAAUAUACCCAGAGAACACCCACUCUUACCCAGGGAAAGCACCAUGCAGCUUCUUUAGCUUUUAAAUUAUUUACCUGCACAGUUGUCCUUUGGUCGACCAAAGACUGAAGAUGGGACAGAUAACCUAGAGGGGCUUCUAGAGUCCUGUCUUGACUCAGAACCUGAGUCCAAGUUAGAAGAUCCUCCAGGGAAGGCUGGGUAGAGCGGCAGAACCCCCAGAGCUUUGCCCAAGAGCUUGGGUCCCAGGGAAAGUACCUGCACGUUGACAUCCCGAUAGCAAUGGUUGAUCAUACGCAAGUGGACGCUCACCUUGGUCUUGAUCUUGAUGAGACACUUCACCAUGAUUCCACUCGGCUACAAACAAACAAGCUUAAUCAUAGCACAAAUGUGGUGCUUUUAAAGUUUCUGUGCCCCAAUCAGCCUCUUCUGUCUUUUAUCCUCUUAGAGGUCAUUGUCCCAUUUCUGUUGGGCUGCUCUUAUGCAGUGGGGACGCUGACAGGACAAGUAGGACCAGAGUAAGAGUGAAAGACAGAACAGUGGAACACUGUCCUCUUGUCCUGCACUUCACUUUGUUUCCUCCCUGCUGUCAGCUGUUGCACAGGCAGUGUGACCUCUGACAGCAGGAGCUAUUUUCAGGCAGAGAUAUUAUUACCAGGGCAGAAAGAGCAACAAUAUGAAACACAGGGGGUUUACGUUGCUGUUGCAAUAUUGGAGUAAUACAUCACAUCUCUGUUCAAGGCAAGAGGAGGGCUAGUUGGACAAAAGACUCUUAAUCUGUAGCUGUGAAUAGACUUACUAAAAGUUUAUUAGUUUGAUCAGCUGAGAGUAAACCAACUCUCAGAGGAAGCACUGGAAAAAGGUUAAUAGCCAGUUGGAGGAGAGUGGGGACAGUAAGUGCUCUUUAUAAACCGCCAGACUUUCUCUUGACAAGAGGAAGCCUGAGGACGGUGUCUGAUCGGCACUUAUUUGUCUAAACACACACGACCACGAGAGAGACGGGGAAAAUUAGUGACACUUAUAAGCAGAGGGGUUGAUAAUAUGGAAGGUACUUACUGCAGUCCACUCACAAAUGCAUUAAAAUCUAAGAUGUGUUAGAAAAGACUGAUCAAUAGUGGAACUAAUCACAUGGAGAACAGUGACCCCAGCACAAUGGGAGGGCUAGCUAAUGUUGGCAACAACGACAAACAUACUUAGCUGUAUUUAAACCAGCUUCAAAAAACAAGAACAUGAUGUCAUCCUAAAUAUUUUUUAAGCUUGGUAAAUUAAAGUGAUGUUAGAUGUGUCAGUAUUUAGGGGAAGCUAAUGAAGAGCUAGCCUCUAAGUCUGUUCUUGUGAAUGUAGCUUAAACCAUAGACGGAAAUACGUAGACGCACCAUUGGUCGCCGGAGAGUGUAACAGCAUUGCUACCGUAUUGGAUGGGUCCCUCACUCUCCAAAACCAGCUGGAAUCAAUGCCGAGUGAACAACUAUGCCUGUUUUUUGUACAGUCUAUGGUAACAACAAUCAGUGUUGAAAACAAGUUACAUGGAACUUUUCUUGCCCAUCUGUUGGGAUUUUAUAUUUUAAUGAAUUUUGUUUGACUAUAUUUAUAUUUUAACUGUCAUACCAUACCAUAAGUCUUGUUUUGUGAUAAAACUUAAUAAAAAGUGGAUUAUAGUUUGGGGCUAAUGCAGACCCAUCCAAGAUGGUGGCCUGCCACAAUGGCAGCUCCAAUAGGCACCGUAUAUGUCUGUGGCUUAAACAACCAGAAAAUUUGAUGAAUACGCAGCAAUAAUGGAUGAUAGACAAACAGUAACUAUCCAGUGAAACCUUUUAAAUAAAAAAUGGGGGAUAAAAUCUUUCAGGGAUUUUGGGAGGAAUUUGGAAACUCCACUAUCAAGGAAAUUCUUAUGCUAAGCAAUUAAACAAAGCUAUUACUGUAUUACCCCUUCCAGUGGUGGACUUGCCAUCAGGAGAAGCAGGACAUUUGCUGGUGGCCUGGCUACCAAACUGGUCUGCUCGGCAGAUCGCAUUACCACCCCACCCUGCUCGGAGAUUUCGUGUUGGGGAUUGAAGCCGCUAAUCCUCGCUCGAAUGGAGAUGGCAGGAAUACUAUAGUCUGCGCUGGGUUGGUGUUAAAUUCCCCUUCUGAGUUACUGUUCCAGUCUGCCCCAACUCCUUCCAAAAUGACGUAAAACGUAAAAACCAUUGACAUAUGAAAAAUGUGGACAUAGCCCACCCAUUGUUCCGUGAGCGGCAGGUUUAAGCCAAAAAUAGGAGGUUCCCAACACUGAUUUUUUUUUACCGUGUCACAUGUCUUGUCACGCCCAGACAAUUCAAAAAUGGGAAAAGAGGUGGAGCUGAGGAUGGGGGUCUUACGUUUGGAACAGGGUUGGAACAAAUUAACCAAUGUAGCUAAUAGCUGAGUCAUCUAGUCCAAGAAGCGAAGAAGGGCUCCAGGGUAGCCAAUUCGCACGACAGCCUGGCGUCUGUGCGAGGCUGUAGUCAUGCCGGUUGCCUGUGGAGAUAUAAUAUGGACUGGGACUGUUAAAUUACAAGCAGAGCCUCAGUCCACUGCAAUUGUAGCUGGGCGCCAUGGCCUUUAACAUCAGCUCAUGCUCCACGGUUGGAGAUCAGCGGGACAUUAGCUAUAUGCUAACCCAAAGAUAAUUGAGUUUUUCAAGGCAUUUUUAUGUUUAUUUAUUUGGCAUACGCUUUUAUCCAAAGCAACUUUCAAUUGUUAAUCUAUAGGGCAUGUUGUGAUCUGUGGGGGAAACCGGAAUGUCCAGAGGGAACCCAUGCAUGCAUGGGGAGAACAUGCAACUCCAUGCAAAAAGGCUGCAGCUGAGUUUCGAACCUGCAACCUGCUUGCUGCGAGGCAACAGUGAUAACAACUGCGUCACCAUGCAUAUAAAUAUAUGUCGAGAAGUAAACAUCUCGACAGGAGCGUCUUCUGAUUAGGCGUUGAUAAAAAUCGCCAUGCAAGUUUACUGCAGUUAGUUAAAGCAGUAGAAAGACAAACUGGAGUGACCCGAUUCCCGUGACACCACACGGCGCACACUGCAGAGGAAUGGCAUGCAUGGGUAUCGUCCACGAAGGAAGCCUCUCCUAAAACCCGUGCACAACAAAGCACAUCUAGGAUUGGCUAGGGCCCAUGCUGAAAGAGAUGAAGACUACUGGGACUAGACUCUGGAAUGACGAGACAAAGAUACAAAAUGUCGCCAACUUGUUCAUUCCAUGCCUAAAGGACUUGGUGUUGGCCAUAAAAAUCACGGUGGUCAUACAAAAUACUAGAUGUAGUAGUUUUUGUUGCAGGGUGUAUUCACUUUGGCUUCAACCAGUUUUAGUAAAACAGAAGAUUUUGUGAUCCAAGUUAUAUUAUUAACCUUGAUUUCAUGUUACGGAGUUAAACAAGUGAUCAGUAAAACCCAGCCUUGUGAAAAUUCUGGAAAUUUUUCGAUAGAUAGAUAGAUAGAUAGAUAGAUAGAUAGAUAAAUAGAUAGAUAGAUAGAUAGAUAGAUAGAUAGAUAGAUAGAUAGAUAGAUAGACAGACAGACAGAUAGACAGACAGAUAGAUAGAUAGAGUAGAUAUAAGUAGAUAUAGACAUGGAUAGAUAGAUAUAGACAUAGAUAGAUGGAUAGAUGAUAGAUACCGUAAAUCCUCUAACACAGGCCCGGGCCUGUAUUUGACUCAAGCUCAUCAAGCUCCAGGCCUUUUUUGGAAGGAGGACCAGAAUUAGAGGCAGGCCUCUAUUUCUAUUUGAGCAAAAUGAACUAAUGGUUCGCUGGAGUUUUUGACAAUUAAAAUUGCGCCCACAUUUUCAAAGUUAAACACAUUUCUUUUAACAACGGUAGUUUCUGCUUCAGCCCUCUCCCCCCUCCCCCUGCGCAGCGGCCGCAAACUCACUGAUGCGCCUGCAGCCUCUUAGAGUUCCUGCUGCUCUAAACAUUAAAAUAAUUAUUUCAUUUUCUGUUCCUCACUUCUGAUUACCUUCAAAGGUGUCUGUUUGUUGCAACCAGCAGGUACAAAAACUAACCCUAACCCUAUUUGACUAUUUUUCUGUCCUGUCUGUUUAUUAUCUUCCUGCAUCUCCUCUCAAUCCUAAAGAGAAACUGCUACCUGGGUUCAUAUAUGUUCACCUUAUGAGUUACCUUUGAGCUGCAGUUCUAAAAGAUCUACCAACCGCAAAAACAGCGGUGUGCUCGCUGCUUGGCGGCCGCAUCAGUGAUCAGUGCGUCACCGGAGGACAAGGUGAUGCGCCCCGCUCCAAAAGCAUCAGGCGCAAAUAAAAGACAGAAAACAUUAAAGGAAAUGAACCGACAUGAACGAUCGCAAGCAUUAAAUUAGUUUUUGAGGUGGCGACACCUGAUUUGAUAAUGUUACUGUGGCCGUGCUCAGGAUGCAGAUCUACCGACCGCAAAAACAGCGGAGUGCUCGCUGCUUGGCGGCCGCAUCAGUGAUCGGUGGGUCACCGGAGGACAAGGUAAUGCGCCCCGCUCCACAGCAGCUAAACACAUCAGGCGCAAAUAAAAGACAGAAAACAUUAAAGGAAAUGAACCGACAUGAACGAUCGUGUGUCAGUACCGACGCUCUGGCACAGCGCGUUGCCCCCCCCGAGCGCAGGAGCUUGUCACCUGCUGACGGCAGGCUGCUGUCUUUUCCGAGGGCUGCAUCUUGCCGGUCAUUAUCACAUGACAGCGACUUGUCGAUGACAGGCAUAAAAAGUCACUAUAGUGAAGUCGACUAGUUCAUACAACCCCUACUGCUCCCCAGUGUUCUGCAGCGCACGUUCUCUUUGAACUUGAUAUCAAAUUUUCGUCUCCGCACGGUUAAAGUUACCCUCGCGGUCUAUCACUGGCAAAUCAAAAGUGAGACAAUGACACAACCACCCCCCGUACUUGCUUGUUACCACAUUCCACCCGGCCACAAUAAGAGACCGGCCAUUAUUCACCUCCGCCGACUCAGACACUGGCCAAAAUUGGAGACCCGGCCUUUAAUUGAAUACCGGCCUGUAUUAGAGGAUUUACGGUAGAUAUAGACAUAGAUAGAUACAGUGAUCCCUCGUUUAUCGCGGUAGAUGCGUUCCAGACCUGGCCGCGAUAGGUGAAAAUCCGCGAAGUAGGGACACCAUAUUUACAGUGUUUAUUUAACAGGAGAGGGAGCGCAGCUGAUCCUCAUCAGCCUGAUCAGCGGGACGGCUUUAAAAGGAGGACGGUUAUCCAGAUACGACGCCGGCCAACUGCCAUUUAAACCCCAGAAGAAGAAGAAGAUACGACGCCGGAUGAUUAACUACUGCCUGACUCGCUUCUCCUACGGAUUCCCUCCCGUCUUGGAGACUUCUGGAUACUCACCGGUUCGCUGCCUGGAUACCAACUCUGCUCUGCCGUCCCGCUCUCCACCGUGCUCACGCUCCCUCUCCGUUACCUCGUCCUCAUCCGUCUACCCUGCCACCUGGAGAUCUACAGUUCGCUUCUGGAUAUCACCCCGGCUUAACUCCCCUCCACAUUCACCCUGAGCUUCCGUAUUUUGCCGCUUCCUGGUUUACCCGGCCUCCGCUGGAUCACCAGUGCGCCCUCAGUUCUCCUCAUCAUUAAAGAAAUAAAAUUGUUUAUCUUUUACCUCGACUCGAGUCUGAUUCUGUAUGUCUUGGGUUAGACACUUACCCCAAAACAUGACAGAAAAAUACCGCGAAUCGGUGAAAAAUACCGCGAAUCGGCGAAUUUCCCUUGAAUAAGGAUCCAAAGAAAAAAUCUGCGAAGUGGUGAAUCCGCAAUAAACGAACCGCGAAGUAGCGAGGGAUCACUGUAUAGAGAUAUAGAUAGCUAUAUAGAUAGAUGAUAGAUAGAUAGACAGAUAUGGAGAUAGAUAUAAGUAGAUAGAUAGACAUAUUUAAAUUCACACUCACUUCUGAGAUGAUUACGACCAAAUAUUUAUCACAUGACACCCCCACUCCUUCCAAAAACAGAUACGCAAAUGGCAACUUGAUGGUAAUAAAUAUCGGUUGUUAAUAUCUGCCCAGUUUUACUCAUCUGACUGAUAUAUGUUAGAAAAAAAUUGACUGAUAGUAAUAUUGAUGGCAAAAGUUUAUUUUAGAUGUAAUCAUUUUUUAUUGUGUUCGUUUACCUUCCAUUAUGGAGAUGUGGACGGCUCGUCGGCGGGUUCUUGGCACACUGGUCAGGCGAGGUCCGUGUGUGAUUGAUGGACAACUUCUGCUGGGAACCAUGCCAGCCCUAGGACAAGAAUAAAAAGGUGAGCGGUGUCUAAAUGGGACCAACUGCCGCAGAUCCAUCAUCAGCCACUGCCGGCUUAAAAGGAGGAGGAAGACCACUAAUCAACGCCGGUUGAUUACUCCACACGGAUCCAGCUCGACUACACCCCUUCAGCCAAGCUCCUGGACCUCUCUUCAGCCUGCAUCUUCCUUCCGUCAGUCCCGUUCAUCAUCGCUCAUCCACCCCCCUCUGGAACCCUUACCUCAACCCCACUGGACACUUGGAUCCUGUCUCCUCAGAUCUAACAGACCUCCCUAUGAACCAUCUCCCCAGCAGCACAGUGAGACCUCCACUCCUCCUCCACCUUCAAACCACCAGACCUCCUACUAAUCCGACUCUACUUGCAGGUCCAAUUCUGCCCCUCUACCCAGCAUCUCCCAGUUUGGGACGUCCUUAGUUGUGCACCGAUUAGAACCUUUGUUUAAUUUUACAUUUGUCUCUUGUGUUGAUUCUGCAUGUGUUGGGUCAAGCACUUAAACCCCAACAUGACAGAUCCUCAUCGUUUCUAAUCUGAAAGUCUGUGCUAACAAAAAUCUAGAUAAUUCAAGUAUACAAAUUGAGACUUUCAAUUUUUAAUUUUAAAUCAAAUGGAAGAUCAUCAU